This is a long non-coding RNA of Fundulus heteroclitus (mummichog), 1934 nucleotides long. RefSeq lists it as uncharacterized. The record is from RefSeq and is a predicted model, not a curated record. Lineage: Eukaryota; Metazoa; Chordata; Actinopteri; Cyprinodontiformes; Fundulidae. The transcript has 2 exons.
ACCAAAGAUUUUAAGUGUGUCACACAGUUCUUUUGGACUUCUGUCUUCAGGGUUGUCAACGUGAAAGUUGAAGUCUCACCCAAUAAAUAGUAGUUAUUAACACAUAUCAAGAAUAAAACACACUGUCACAAUUACACGGAUGACACACAAUUGCAUAUCCGUUUUACAUUCCAGUAAAAUCUAUUUUUCAUUCCAAUGAACAGAUGAAUACCUGUAUGUGUCAAGAUUUUCUUCAGCUAAUUAAAGACGAGCUGAAGUUUUAAUUUUUGGGCCAAAAGGGUCAGUACCCACCUUCACCCCAUUGGUUUAAAGAGAAAUGUUGCAGUGAUCAUUGAACCUGACCUGAACCAAUCACAAACUGAUCAUUAAAGGUAUAGUGGAUGAUCUACUUUGACUUCAAAUUCCCAGAAGAAUUAGAAUUUUGAGCCAAUCUAUCUUUGAUAGGACACCUUAUGAUCUAUCCAAGAUGGUGGCACAGAAACCUGCAGCAACUACAGGCACAAGGCUUUUUAUGUUGUUCUUUGUGUUUUUGUUUGUCAUAUCGCCAAUGCAAGCUCUAAUUAUACAAAAGAGAAGAGCAGCUUGAUCUGGGGCCACACUCCAAAGCCUGUGGAUUAUACCGAUGGUCGAAACCAGACUUUAUUUCUCCUGAAACACGACAGACAGCAGGGCCUCUGUUCCCACCGCCUCUUAGGCCUGGGUCACAGAGGAAACACAGAAGAAGACGCGGCGGCCUCCGUACCAGGCUAAAGGCUAAUCCACACAGGCCAACCCUGCCCAGUCUCCUCAUGGCAAAUGUUAAAUCCCUAAAAUAGACAAGAUCCAGCUCAGGAUUGCCUCACAUAAGGACAGCUGUGUCGUGAUCUUCACAGACACCUGACGCCAGAGUCAAGCUAGCAGGCUGCUCUUUGUUUGGAGCAGACUGAAACAAAUCUGUAGAGAGAAGCAAAGGUGGAGGCUUAAUAAUGUACAUUCACAACAGCUGGUGCAUAGCUGCAAAAGCUACCAGAAGCCUCUGCUCCACCAAUCUGGAAUACCUAGACUUUAAGUGCAGAUCUUUAAACUGGUUUAAGAGUUCAGCUCUGUGAUAAGCUGUGCUGCUUUAUCGGUAGCCUUAUGAACAGCAAUCAGGAAGCAAAGGAUCAAAGAUUCUUUAUUGUCACCACAUGUUGCCCUGGGGAAAUUUUCUUUUGGACGCUCUGGCUAGGAGUACAAACAAAAUACAACAGGCAGUGAAAACUGAAAAGUUCACAGUUUUUUUCACAUUGUCACUUACAAAGAAACCAUGGGUGGACGUCUCGAUGCGGUCCCUGCGGAAGCGUUCAGAUCAGGAGACAGAAAUCUUCAACCUCUCCCUGCAGCUCUCCACAGUUCCUACCUAUCUGAAAUCCUCCGUUAUAACCAAUGGUUAUCAGUUUAUUUUACUGUAUAUGUGUAUUGAUUUUCUCUCUCUUAUUGUUACAGAAGGCCUGCAGAAAGCAGAAAAACAUGUUGUGAUGAGGAUAAGUGUUUUUCAAGUUAUGUUUGAGACUGUGAUGAACUGCACCCAGUCAUCUGGUGUGCUUACGCAUAACUGAACUGUGUGAACUGCUUUGUAUUAUCUCGAAUGUCACAUUGCUGUUAAUUCAAUUCAAUUUUAUUUAUAUAGCGCUAAUUCAUGAAACAUGUCAUCUCAAGGCACUUUACAAAGUAAUAUUCAAUCAGAUUAUACAGAUAUAAAAUAGCCUCCCCUACUCCUUGGCGUGGCAAUAUAAUAUUGUAAGGUAAAAAAUUAACUGGUUUAUUUUACACACAGGGUGCAGACGCUUACUGUUCUCCGCUCAUUUCUAUUCAACUAUUGACCUGUUCUCAGCCUCCCCUGGUUUUUUUAUUUGAUAAUGUGGUGUGUGUAUUGUAGAUUUCUGUAGUAAUAAAAAGACUCUUCAAAACUGUAA